UCGUGAUUGAUGAUUUUUCAUCAAAAGUUUAUUAUUUUGCUCAGCAACAAGUAGGCAUGAUAUCAGCUCAGAAUAUCUUUUAAAACCCCGCUCUCGAUACUGCUGCUGCAGGAGCACAUUCGAGGCAUGAAAAGUGGAAUAUGUUUUUUCUAACAUAUCCUGUUCAGUAAUUUUUUCUCCGCAUAAUUUUAACUGAGAGGUAAUUCUGAAUACUGCGGAAUUAUACUCGCUUACAGUUUUAAAAUCCUGCAGUCGUAGGUGAAUCCAUUCGUAGUGGGCUUUUGGAAGGAUCGUAUAUUUCUGAUGAUCAUAUCUCUCUUUCAAAUUUGUCCAAAGGACAUAUGGAUCUUUCAC
Molecule: long non-coding RNA, 354 nt
Filed under: Phoenix dactylifera (date palm)
Lineage: Eukaryota; Viridiplantae; Streptophyta; Magnoliopsida; Arecales; Arecaceae
Description: long non-coding RNA (PDAC_LNC004978)
Source: RNAcentral